UACGAAGGAUGCAAGCGUUAUCCGGAUUUAUUGGGUUUAAAGGGUGCGUAGGCGGACUUAUAAGUCAGUGGUGAAAUCUCGUUGCUUAACAACGAACGUGCCAUUGAUACUGUAGGUCUUGAGUACAGAUGCCGUUGGCGGAAUGUGUCAUGUAGCGGUGAAAUGCAUAGAUAUGACACAGAACACCGAUUGCGAAGGUAGCUGACGAAACUGUAACUGACGCUGAGGCACGAAAGCGUGGGGAUCAAACAGG
RNAcentral lists this ribosomal RNA (253 nucleotides) under uncultured bacterium. RNAcentral's name for it is "partial 16S ribosomal RNA". It matches the Rfam family "Bacterial small subunit ribosomal RNA", at positions 524 to 776 of the family's 1533-position model. The record is from RNAcentral.